This 473-nucleotide ribosomal RNA is filed under the name uncultured bacterium. RNAcentral's name for it is "SSU rRNA". It matches the Rfam family "Bacterial small subunit ribosomal RNA", at positions 26 to 518 of the family's 1533-position model. The record is from RNAcentral.
AGAAUCAACGCUGGCGGCGUGCCUAACACAUGCAAGUCGAACGAGAAAGUGGAGCAAUCCAUGAGUAAAGUGGCGACCGGGUGAGUAACACGUGACUAACCUACCUUCAAGUGGGGGAUAACCUCGGGAAACCGGGGCUAAUACCGCAUAACAUCUUUGGAGUGGAAAUUCUGGAGAUCAAAGGAGCAAUUCGCUGGAAGAGGGGUCGCGGCUGAUUAGCUAGUUGGCGGGGUAAUGGCCCACCAAGGCUUUGAUCGGUAGCCGGCCUGAGAGGGCGCACGGCCACACUGGAACUGAAACACGGUCCAGACUCCUACGGGAGGCAGCAGUGGGGAAUUUUGCGCAAUGGGGGAAACCCUGACGCAGCAACGCCGCGUGGAGGAUGAAGUCCCUGGGACGUAAACUCCUUUCGACCGGGAAGAUGAUGACGGUACCGGUGGAAGAAGCCCGGCUAACUUCGCGCCAGCAGCCGC